RNAcentral lists this ribosomal RNA (500 nucleotides) under uncultured bacterium. Its description in RNAcentral is "bacterial SSU rRNA". It matches the Rfam family "Bacterial small subunit ribosomal RNA", at positions 29 to 518 of the family's 1533-position model. The record is from RNAcentral.
AUGAACGCUAGCUACAGGCUUAACACAUGCAAGUCGAGGGGCAGCAUGAUCGAAGCUUGCUUUGAUUGAUGGCGACCGGCGCACGGGUGAGUAACGCGUAUCCAACUCCCUGUAGUAGAGGAUAGCCCGGCGAAAGUCGGAUUAAUACUCUAUGUUGUAUUUCGAUGACAUCUGAAGAAUACCAAAGGUUUACCGCUAUAGGAUGGGGGAUGCGUCUGAUUAGGUGUUGGCGGGGUAACGGCCCACCAAGCCCACGAUCGAGUAGGGGUUCUGAGAGGAAGGUCCCCCACAUUGGAACUGAGACGCGGUCCAAACUCCUACGGGAGGCAGCAGUGAGGAAUAUUGGUCAAUGGACGUAAGUCUGAACCAGCCAAGUAGCGUGCAAGGAUGACGGCCCUAUGGGUUGUAAACUGCUUUUAUAUAGGGAUAAAGUGCACUACGUGUAGUGUUUUGUAGGUACUAUAUGAAUAAGGACCGGCUAAUUCCGUGCCAGCAGCAGC